CCCUUAGAUGUUCUGGGCCGCACGCGCGCUACACCGAUGCAUUCAACGAGUCUAAAACCUGCUCUGAUAGGGGUGGGUAAUCUUUUGAACGUGCAUCGUGAUUGGGAUAGAUGAUUGCAAUUUUUCAUCUUCAACGAGGAAUGCCUAGUAAACGCAAGUCAUCAGCUUGCAUUGAUUACGUCCCUGCCCUUUGUACACACCGCCCGUCGCUCCUACCGACUGAAUGAUCCGAUGAAUAUCAUGGAUUGAGGAUGCAAGUAGGUUAGCCUAUCUUCAUCUUCGAGAAGUGAAGUAAAUCUUAUCAUUUAGAGGAAGGAGAAGUCGUAACA
RNAcentral lists this ribosomal RNA (329 nucleotides) under uncultured eukaryote. RNAcentral's name for it is "partial 18S ribosomal RNA". It matches the Rfam family "Eukaryotic small subunit ribosomal RNA", at positions 1470 to 1796 of the family's 1831-position model. The record is from RNAcentral.